GCCAACAUGGCAUAGUGGUUAGAGUGUUUGACCAGGACUCUGGAAACCAGGUACAAUUCCCUGCUUUGUCA
Non-coding RNA from Phrynosoma platyrhinos (Desert horned lizard), 71 nucleotides. Lineage: Eukaryota; Metazoa; Chordata; Lepidosauria; Squamata; Phrynosomatidae. The record is from the annotation of a GenBank genome assembly.